Molecule: RNA transcript, 3101 nt
Organism: Lutra lutra (Eurasian river otter)
Lineage: Eukaryota; Metazoa; Chordata; Mammalia; Carnivora; Mustelidae
Gene: OSGEPL1
Gene name: O-sialoglycoprotein endopeptidase like 1
Exons: 8
Source: RefSeq, a predicted model, not a curated record
CGCUGUGGCCACGGUGGUUCGCGGGGACGGAGGGUAAGACGGCCCGCCCUCCCCCACGGCUUCCUUCGCCUGCCUGCGAGGGCGAUUCCAGCACCAGCCUGGACCACCGGCCCAGGACCCUGGAUCCACUUGGGCGCUUUCGUGGCCUUGAAGACCAGUGCUUCGCUCAGGCUUCCCUGCCUGGGUUUCCGUGAUGCGAAUCUGAUUCCUUCGGGGCGGCGGGGCCAGGCCUGCGCUCCCCGCCGCGGUCCUCGCGCGAGGGCCGUGCCCGCCGCUCCACCCCCGGGGCCCUCCGCCACGGGGGACGAUGAAAAUCCCAGCACUUACUCUCUGAUUUUCCCGCUAGUGUGUAGGGAAGGGCCCGCGUAAGCCCCUAGAAAGUUCUAGAACAGGUCGUCUGGGGGCAGAAACCAGAUACUUGAAAGAGUGAAGAUACCAGGGUGCUUUAGUGAUGGGCUGUUGUCAUUUUGAGAAGAAAAAAGGAAUUUGGGGAGAUCCUACUAAGAUAACUUGUGGUAAAAUGGAGAUGGAGUUAGAAAACUUGUGAUUAAUGGAUGAAGUGGGUAUGAGGUUGCAGUCGUCCUAGUCCAGAUGUGGUUCUCGGAAGAAGUUAUUUAUAGAGUAAUUAUGCUAAUACUGAGUAAGACAGCAGGAGUCUUUUCUAAACCAGCAAGAAGGAAAACUUAUGAAUUUUUAAGAAUUUUUAAUUUUCAUUCUGGAAAACCGUUUCUUCAUAAACUAGUGUUGGGAAUCGAAACCAGUUGUGAUGAUACAGCAGCUGCUGUGGUGGAUGAAACUGGAAACGUUUUGGGAGAAGCGAUACAUUCCCAAACUGAAGUUCAUUUAAAAACAGGUGGGAUUGUUCCUUCAGUAGCUCAGCAGCUUCACAGAGAAAAUAUUCAGCGGAUAGUGCAAGAAGCUCUCUCUUCCAGUAAAGUCUGUCCAAGUGAACUCUCAGCGGUCGCAACCACUAUAAAACCAGGACUUGCUCUAAGCUUGGGAGUAGGCUUAUCAUUUAGCUUACACCUAGUAGACCAGUUAAAAAAACCUUUCAUUCCCAUUCAUCAUAUGGAGGCUCAUGCACUGACUAUUAGGUUGUUAAAUAAAGUAGACUUUCCCUUCUUAGUUCUUUUGAUUUCUGGAGGUCAUUGUCUGUUGGCAUUAGUCAGAGGAGUUUCAGAUUUUCUGCUUCUGGGGAAGUCUUUGGACAUAGCACCAGGGGACAUGCUUGACAAGGUAGCAAGAAGACUGUCUUUGAUUAAACAUCCAGAGUGCUCCACCAUGAGCGGUGGGAAGGCUAUAGAACAUUUGGCCAAACAAGGAAAUAAACUGCAUUUUGAUAUCAAACCUCCCAUGCAACGAGCUAAAAAUUGUGAUUUUUCUUUUUCUGGACUUCAGCAUGUUGUUGGUAGGAUAAUAACACAAAAGGAAAAAGAGGAAGGGAUCCAAAAGGGGGAAAUCCUGGCUUCAGCUGCACACAUUGCCGCUGCGGUACAGCACGCGACAGCGUGCCACAUUGCAAAGAGAACUCACCGUGCCAUUCUGUUCUGCAAGCAGAGACGCUUGUUAUCUCCAAGUAAUGCAGUACUGGUUGUAUCUGGAGGUGUCGCGAGUAACUUAUACAUCCGAAAAGCUCUGGAAAUUGUAACAAAUGCAACAGAGUGCACUUUGUUGUGUCCUCCUCCCAGACUGUGCACUGACAACGGCAUUAUGAUUGCAUGAUGUCCUCUUGGAGUAGACAUAUCAGAAGAAGUUGGAGAAGCUGCCAUAAAAGCACCGCGGUUAAAAAUGGACAUUUGAUUUUUGCUUUUCAAAAAAAUCCCUAAAGAAACUUAAGCUCUGAUGGAACUCCAGCACUGAAGCAAAAUCCUGUGGAUAAAUUAAUGCCCAUCAGCCUUCGCCAUAACUGCAGGCACUGCAUCUGAUUUAGCCCUGUUUCUACCCUGGGAGUCUGGCCUAGCUUUGAAUGAAAUUCAAAGGUCUUUUAAACCUUUUUUGAUGAUGCCAAAGUCAUGGUGGUAUUCCUGGUUGGCUCAGGACUCUCAAGUAAUAUCCCAGAAGUGGUUUUCCAGAUCAGACUUGGAAGCAACCCCAGAAACCCCAGAAAGUUUUUCUGAAACAUGAAUAACUUGGCCAAAUGGGAUCCCCAAGAUUGCCUCCACAGGUAGUUUUGUUGCUAGAUCAGAAUUAAAACGGGCUUUGGUAGUGGACAUUUAGGGUGAGUUUUCUCUCUUGGUAUUCAUUCACACCAGGAAUAGCUAGCUCACCUUGUUUGAUCUCCCUUAAGCUUUCUUACAGGUUCUUCUAUCCAUAAUCUCACUACUGCAACUUCACAGAUACAGGCACAAUACCUUAAGGAAGGAAGUCCCACUCGUUGCUGCAUUUGAAAUUCCUUUAAAAAAGCUGGGUUGAUACUUGCAUCUCUGUUGAUAUUAUUUGUUAUACGGAGGAACUGGUUAGGCUUAGUUCUGCAUUCCUUUAGUAGGAUGCGGAAAGCAUUCGCGUUGUAAGUUAAGUAGCCGAGAGCACAGGAGCAAGCUGUGCGAACCUAAAUGAAGAAGCAAUUCAAUCCCUUCAUUGAGCUUUAUUCUUAAAAUAUCUAACAAACUGUUCUCACUAAACAGUUCAUUAGCCUCUGUAGCUAUGCCCAGCAAACAUGGAUGUCCACCCAUGGCAAUGUAUAGAUGGAAGCAGAACAGCUAUAUUUUUAGAGAAAGCUGUCAACUGCUGUUGGUUUCUAGUACUUGUUCUCAGUCCUGACUGCGUUUUAGAAUCACCAGCAGUUAAAAAAGAAAAAAGAAAAAAAGCCCACCAACUGUCUAUUGGUUAGAAUCUGGGCAUUCACAUGGUCUUUAAAAGUGCCAGAGGCAACUCCAGUAUGCAGCAGAGUAAGGACCAUUGAGUUGGAACUAAGGGUCUCAGUCUUGAUUGUGCAUUGGAAUCCCCUUGAUAGUUCCUAAAAUUACUCAGUGCCUGGGUUCCACCCCUAGAAACUCUUAAUUAUUUUGGCUGCAGCCUGGACACUAGAAUUUUUCAAAACUGCUCAGUAGCUUGUAAUAGGAAACCAGGCAAGAGACUAGAGGAUAAAAAUAAGGUAAAAA